This 378-nucleotide unclassified non-coding RNA is filed under the name Hevea brasiliensis (rubber tree). The record is from RNAcentral. Lineage: Eukaryota; Viridiplantae; Streptophyta; Magnoliopsida; Malpighiales; Euphorbiaceae.
AAAUCAUUGCGUUUGUUUUCCUGUUUUCCAUUCUUUGCUGUUCAAAAUUCAUCAAAUGAUAUACUGUCAAUGAUACAAUUGUGUUUCACAUGUUGCAGAAAGAGAAUGAUUGAUGCAUGUAAUUCUUCCAACAUUCUCCAUUUGGUCUCUGGCACUAAGCUUCACAAUGAACAUAACAGCUGAAGCCUGAAGCGCAAAUAAGAGAAAUAUAAUUACAUCCGCUUCCUCAGCAAACUUUAAGCAAUUUCCUUUUUGAAACCAAACUCCAAUUUAUCACCGAAAUUAAAACCCUGUAGACGCAAUAAAUACAUCAAACUUCACGAUCUGAAAAUAUUAAAGUAGCAUUUUUUUUUUAAUUGAUGAAAGUAGCAUUUAGGA